This 204-nucleotide long non-coding RNA is filed under the name Prunus persica (peach). Its description in RNAcentral is "long non-coding RNA (PPER_LNC004291)". Lineage: Eukaryota; Viridiplantae; Streptophyta; Magnoliopsida; Rosales; Rosaceae. The record is from RNAcentral.
CAACAUUUUAUAAAGUUCAUGUAGUUAAUAGUAAAAAUUAAAAGUUGAGGUGAUAAUUUUGCAUGCCUAAAAGUUCUGGUGGUAUUUAUGCAAAUUUCCCUAUAAAUAAUAUUUAAAAAAAUAGAAAGUCUUUUAAGGUCAAGUAAAACUAAAGAAGCAAAUAAUAGGUAAAUAAAAGUAAAAUAAAUUAAGAUUAAGAAAGCA